This 487-nucleotide long non-coding RNA is filed under the name Ananas comosus (pineapple). Its description in RNAcentral is "long non-coding RNA (ACOM_LNC039482)". Lineage: Eukaryota; Viridiplantae; Streptophyta; Magnoliopsida; Poales; Bromeliaceae. The record is from RNAcentral.
UUGGAGUUCUAUUCCCUGGUUUUCUACGAUACUCCAAAGCGAAGGAUCACCAUAUUCAUGAUAUUCUUCAUGGUGGCGUCGUGGAUUCGGCGUAUUUGACGGCGGUUCGUGGAUUCGGAUCGUUGGCUCGUGGAUUCGAGUGGCGUCGUGGAUUCGGCGUGAUUGAAGCUUCGUGGAUUCGAAGUGGAGGCGUUCGUGGACUCGAACAUGAGGGCGUGGACAACCCGGAGGGUAGCGCGAAGAUUCAUAGGAGGUUAAGAGAGGUUGAGUCCGUGGAGUCGGUAAUCACCUUGUAAUCUUUUCUCUUAGUGAAUUAUUUUUUCGCGUGUUGGUCCCGUGGGUUUUUCUCCAAGUUGGAGUUUUCCCACGUAAAUCUCGGUGUGCUUUUUAUUUUCCGCAUUUAUUUUUAUUGCAUCGAGAUUUGUGGUUUUUUGGCCUUUCACCUAUUCACCCCCCUCUAGGUGAUAGAUACAAUCUAGAUAGAUCC